Molecule: ribosomal RNA, 788 nt
Filed under: fungal endophyte
Lineage: Eukaryota; Fungi
Description: eukaryotic LSU rRNA
Rfam family: Eukaryotic large subunit ribosomal RNA (bases 467-788)
Source: RNAcentral
UACAAGUGACCCCGGUCUAACCACCGGGAUGUUCAUAACCCUUUGUUGUCCGACUCUGUUGCCUCCGGGGCGACCCUGCCUUCGGGCGGGGGCUCCGGGUGGACACUUCAAACUCUUGCGUAACUUUGCAGUCUGAGUAAACUUAAUUAAUAAAUUAAAACUUUUAACAACGGAUCUCUUGGUUCUGGCAUCGAUGAAGAACGCAGCGAAAUGCGAUAAGUAAUGUGAAUUGCAGAAUUCAGUGAAUCAUCGAAUCUUUGAACGCACAUUGCGCCCCCUGGUAUUCCGGGGGGCAUGCCUGUUCGAGCGUCAUUUCACCACUCAAGCCUCGCUUGGUAUUGGGCAACGCGGUCCGCCGCGUGCCUCAAAUCGACCGGCUGGGUCUUCUGUCCCCUAAGCGUUGUGGAAACUAUUCGCUAAAGGGUGUUCGGGAGGCUACGCCGUAAAACAACCCCAUUUCUAAGGUUGACCUCGGAUCAGGUAGGGAUACCCGCUGAACUUAAGCAUAUCAAUAAGCGGAGGAAAAGAAACCAACAGGGAUUGCUCUAGUAACGGCGAGUGAAGCAGCAAUAGCUCAAAUUUGAAAUCUGGCGUCUUCGACGUCCGAGUUGUAAUUUGUAGAGGAUGCUUCUGAGUAACCACCGACCUAAGUUCCUUGGAACAGGACGUCAUAGAGGGUGAGAAUCCCGUAUGCGGUCGGAAAGGUGCUCUAUACGUAGCUCCUUCGACGAGUCGAGUUGUUUGGGAAUGCAGCUCUAAAUGGGAGGUAAAUUUCUUCUAAAGCUAAA